GCCAGGAGGAGGGGCCACCACCUCGUUCAGAGGAGGAACAGAGUAGAGACCAGCCAGCACCGUCCCCACUGGGUACCAUCCUGAUGGAGACAGGUUGUAGGUAUAGUACACCAUCAGACCCAGCAGCAGCAGCAACAGGAGACCCACAGACAGACCAACAGCCAAUAGUAACACCUGGUCUGAACAAACAAGCACAUUAACAAGGAAAAUAAGCCCAAAGGUGGAUAGCAGGCAUUGGGUCUAAUGCAGUUUACCACUUACCUGCCAUGCUUAUUUUAACUCUCCUUGUCUUUUGUUCUUGUCAGCUGUCACUCAGACUUACUGGCUGUCGUUGUGACUGUAGUUGACCUGUUUAGCAGUGGUGUGUGAAGUGUAUACUGUGUGUGACCCAGAGAGUAGAGAGUACAACACAUAUGGCUGAUUCUCACCAUUUCAUGCUGUUAUCUGGCUUUUUGGUUGGCAGCUACACUCAUACCCCUUUAAAAGGACCAUACCACUGAUUUAGGAUGUUUUAGCCCAGUCACAAAUUACAUAAACCUCACAUUACAGCGAAGCAUUUGCAAACCAUGCUGUUGUGUUUUAGAUUGUUGAAUGUAUUAUUAAGGAAUUAAAAGUUGCAAAAACAUUGA
Molecule: long non-coding RNA, 629 nt
Organism: Siniperca chuatsi (mandarin fish)
Lineage: Eukaryota; Metazoa; Chordata; Actinopteri; Centrarchiformes; Sinipercidae
Exons: 2
Source: RefSeq, a predicted model, not a curated record